GGCGGACAUAUAUACCGGUGGCACCGCCUCCCUCGUCCCUUUUGCUGAGCCGGUGAGUGCAGCGCGGUGGCCUGGGGCCGGCCAUGAUACAUCAAGCAAGUUCUUCCCUCACUGGUAACUACAAAACUGCAGACCGAGACCUGAUGCUACUUGCUAAGGAUUUAAUGGAGGAAGUUGGAAGCCCCAUAGAAAGAAGAUUAUCUGGCCUGGAAGGUGAAUCCUGAUGAUGAAAGGCUGUGUUAAAUAGAUUGGCUUCGGAUGACCACCUGCACGAUGUAUGGAGAUAAAAAUUCCAACUUGAACACAGUUCCAUAUUGUUUGCAGGGAGAGUAGAGCACAGAACACUUCAUACAAAGGCUUCCAGAGGGUGCUUGGAUAUCCUGCAUCUGGCUUGGAUUUUCCUGUUUCAUGGUUGGUUGUUUGAGUUGUCCUUACACUCUGCUUCAUUCCAGGACUGGGGUGACUUGGAUGUACAGAGUGCUGCUAUUAGCAGUGGUCCUGGCCCUGCCUUGAAUAAACUUGGCAUUAAUAUUAGAAGAUGAUGGAUGAUCAGGACAGCAUUUCAAGUGAGGGCUGGAGCGCACUCCUGGAAAAAGGAUCACUUUGCUGAGAGUAAAGUUGGUCAAACAUGCAGUGAAGCAAUCAGCCCUCUGCCUGCCUGAGAGAGAGCAAGAUUGGUUUGAAUGGGACAGUUGAGGAAUCAGAAAGUGUGAAGGCAUCGGAUUGUGUUUCCAGCAACUCCUAAGUUUUGCCCACAGAAGACAGUGCCCCUGCUUCUGAGGUGCUUGGGUAUAGCCAUGGAGGGUUCAGAGUCAAUCCUGCAGCAGUGGGUGUGUCAAGCUGGAGGGAAGCAGUCUCUCUGCCACCCCAUUUAGACUAUCAGUUUGGCCUGGAGUCCUUCCUCCGCAGUCCUGCCUGCACUCAGAGCUCACCAGGACCAUUUAAGGGGCUUGCAAGGGUGUUGAAAGGACAGAUGAGGCAGCAGUACUUGCUGUGUUCUACGCUUGCCACAAUAGGUGACAUGACUUCUGGAUGAAGAGUAGUCUACAAAUUUGUGCAGAAAAGAUUACAUUCAGAAUGUCUUGUUGCCCCACUUGUCACAUGCUUCUACAUUGAUACACACUUUAGUCUGUUGCUAUAUAUCCAAUUAAGAAACUAGACUUGCUCUGAACUUUUGCUAUGUGUCUUUUAACCAGCACUAAGUAGACUUUAGAAGUAAAAUAACAGCUGUUUAAGAAAUUUGAAAUGUGCUAAAAUAAACUCAUCACAAAUGA
Mauremys mutica (yellowpond turtle) is the source of this 1274-nucleotide long non-coding RNA. RefSeq lists it as uncharacterized. Lineage: Eukaryota; Metazoa; Chordata; Testudines; Geoemydidae. The record is from RefSeq and is a predicted model, not a curated record. The transcript is spliced from 14 exons.